Recurvomyces mirabilis is the source of this 131-nucleotide non-coding RNA. NCBI's taxonomy places the organism in Eukaryota, Fungi, Ascomycota, Dothideomycetes, Mycosphaerellales, Teratosphaeriaceae. The record is from the annotation of a RefSeq genome assembly.
GCGUUCUUGGUCUAAUGGUUAGGAUUGCUGCCUUCCAAGCAGCAGGUUCGGGUUGUAAGUGUUGAUUGAGAGAAUUCUUGUUGCCGCUACACACCAUCUAAUGCGUGUAACAGCAAUUCCCGGAGGACGCA